AUAACUUCUCGGCCUUUUGACUAAGAUUACGUGUAAUAUCUAUUCUUAUCAUUUUAAUAAAUAAUAAAAAUGUUUUACAAAAAAUAAAUAUAUGAACCCAAUUUUAAAAAUUGAUUUGGCUUUUUAUUUGACCGACUUUUGGUUUUGUCUUUGUACCCUUAAGUCAAAUUCAA
Oryctolagus cuniculus (rabbit) is the source of this 173-nucleotide small nuclear RNA. Its record names the gene U2. It matches the Rfam family "U2 spliceosomal RNA". Rfam says of the family: U2 is a small nuclear RNA (snRNA) component of the spliceosome (involved in pre-mRNA splicing). Complementary binding between U2 snRNA (in an area lying towards the 5' end but 3' to hairpin I) and the branchpoint sequence (BPS) of the intron results the bulging out of an unpaired adenosine, on the BPS, which initiates a nucleophilic attack at the intronic 5' splice site, thus starting the first of two transesterification reactions that mediate splicing. The record is from Ensembl. Lineage: Eukaryota; Metazoa; Chordata; Mammalia; Lagomorpha; Leporidae.